This 2815-nucleotide ribosomal RNA is filed under the name Staphylococcus aureus. RNAcentral describes it as "bacterial LSU rRNA". It matches the Rfam family "Bacterial large subunit ribosomal RNA". The record is from RNAcentral. Lineage: Bacteria; Bacillati; Bacillota; Bacilli; Caryophanales; Staphylococcaceae.
AGGGCGCACGGUGGAUGCCUUGGCACUAGAAGCCGAUGAAGGACGUUACUAACGACGAUAUGCUUUGGGGAGCUGUAAGUAAGCUUUGAUCCAGAGAUUUCCGAAUGGGGAAACCCAGCAUGAGUUAUGUCAUGUUAUCGAUAUGUGAAUACAUAGCAUAUCAGAAGGCACACCCGGAGAACUGAAACAUCUUAGUACCCGGAGGAAGAGAAAGAAAAUUCGAUUCCCUUAGUAGCGGCGAGCGAAACGGGAAGAGCCCAAACCAACAAGCUUGCUUGUUGGGGUUGUAGGACACUCUAUACGGAGUUACAAAGGACGACAUUAGACGAAUCAUCUGGAAAGAUGAAUCAAAGAAGGUAAUAAUCCUGUAGUCGAAAAUGUUGUCUCUCUUGAGUGGAUCCUGAGUACGACGGAGCACGUGAAAUUCCGUCGGAAUCUGGGAGGACCAUCUCCUAAGGCUAAAUACUCUCUAGUGACCGAUAGUGAACCAGUACCGUGAGGGAAAGGUGAAAAGCACCCCGGAAGGGGAGUGAAAUAGAACCUGAAACCGUGUGCUUACAAGUAGUCAGAGCCCGUUAAUGGGUGAUGGCGUGCCUUUUGUAGAAUGAACCGGCGAGUUACGAUUUGAUGCAAGGUUAAGCAGUAAAUGUGGAGCCGUAGCGAAAGCGAGUCUGAAUAGGGCGUUUAGUAUUUGGUCGUAGACCCGAAACCAGGUGAUCUACCCUUGGUCAGGUUGAAGUUCAGGUAACACUGAAUGGAGGACCGAACCGACUUACGUUGAAAAGUGAGCGGAUGAACUGAGGGUAGCGGAGAAAUUCCAAUCGAACCUGGAGAUAGCUGGUUCUCUCCGAAAUAGCUUUAGGGCUAGCCUCAAGUGAUGAUUAUUGGAGGUAGAGCACUGUUUGGACGAGGGGCCCCUCUCGGGUUACCGAAUUCAGACAAACUCCGAAUGCCAAUUAAUUUAACUUGGGAGUCAGAACAUGGGUGAUAAGGUCCGUGUUCGAAAGGGAAACAGCCCAGACCACCAGCUAAGGUCCCAAAAUAUAUGUUAAGUGGAAAAGGAUGUGGCGUUGCCCAGACAACUAGGAUGUUGGCUUAGAAGCAGCCAUCAUUUAAAGAGUGCGUAAUAGCUCACUAGUCGAGUGACACUGCGCCGAAAAUGUACCGGGGCUAAACAUAUUACCGAAGCUGUGGAUUGUCCUUUGGACAAUGGUAGGAGAGCGUUCUAAGGGCGUUGAAGCAUGAUCGUAAGGACAUGUGGAGCGCUUAGAAGUGAGAAUGCCGGUGUGAGUAGCGAAAGACGGGUGAGAAUCCCGUCCACCGAUUGACUAAGGUUUCCAGAGGAAGGCUCGUCCGCUCUGGGUUAGUCGGGUCCUAAGCUGAGGCCGACAGGCGUAGGCGAUGGAUAACAGGUUGAUAUUCCUGUACCACCUAUAAUCGUUUUAAUCGAUGGGGGGACGCAGUAGGAUAGGCGAAGCGUGCGAUUGGAUUGCACGUCUAAGCAGUAAGGCUGAGUAUUAGGCAAAUCCGGUACUCGUUAAGGCUGAGCUGUGAUGGGGAGAAGACAUUGUGUCUUCGAGUCGUUGAUUUCACACUGCCGAGAAAAGCCUCUAGAUAGAAAAUAGGUGCCCGUACCGCAAACCGACACAGGUAGUCAAGAUGAGAAUUCUAAGGUGAGCGAGCGAACUCUCGUUAAGGAACUCGGCAAAAUGACCCCGUAACUUCGGGAGAAGGGGUGCUCUUUAGGGUUAACGCCCAGAAGAGCCGCAGUGAAUAGGCCCAAGCGACUGUUUAUCAAAAACACAGGUCUCUGCUAAACCGUAAGGUGAUGUAUAGGGGCUGACGCCUGCCCGGUGCUGGAAGGUUAAGAGGAGUGGUUAGCUUCUGCGAAGCUACGAAUCGAAGCCCCAGUAAACGGCGGCCGUAACUAUAACGGUCCUAAGGUAGCGAAAUUCCUUGUCGGGUAAGUUCCGACCCGCACGAAAGGCGUAACGAUUUGGGCACUGUCUCAACGAGAGACUCGGUGAAAUCAUAGUACCUGUGAAGAUGCAGGUUACCCGCGACAGGACGGAAAGACCCCGUGGAGCUUUACUGUAGCCUGAUAUUGAAAUUCGGCACAGCUUGUACAGGAUAGGUAGGAGCCUUUGAAACGUGAGCGCUAGCUUACGUGGAGGCGCUGGUGGGAUACUACCCUAGCUGUGUUGGCUUUCUAACCCGCACCACUUAUCGUGGUGGGAGACAGUGUCAAGCGGGCAGUUUGACUGGGGCGGUCGCCUCCUAAAAGGUAACGGAGGCGCUCAAAGGUUCCCUCAGAAUGGUUGGAAAUCAUUCAUAGAGUGUAAAGGCAUAAGGGAGCUUGACUGCGAGACCUACAAGUCGAGCAGGGUCGAAAGACGGACUUAGUGAUCCGGUGGUUCCGCAUGGAAGGGCCAUCGCUCAACGGAUAAAAGCUACCCCGGGGAUAACAGGCUUAUCUCCCCCAAGAGUUCACAUCGACGGGGAGGUUUGGCACCUCGAUGUCGGCUCAUCGCAUCCUGGGGCUGUAGUCGGUCCCAAGGGUUGGGCUGUUCGCCCAUUAAAGCGGUACGCGAGCUGGGUUCAGAACGUCGUGAGACAGUUCGGUCCCUAUCCGUCGUGGGCGUAGGAAAUUUGAGAGGAGCUGUCCUUAGUACGAGAGGACCGGGAUGGACAUACCUCUGGUGUACCAGUUGUCGUGCCAACGGCAUAGCUGGGUAGCUAUGUGUGGACGGGAUAAGUGCUGAAAGCAUCUAAGCAUGAAGCCCCCCUCAAGAUGAGAUUUCCCAACUUCGGUUAU